This is a long non-coding RNA of Cyprinus carpio (common carp), 1457 nucleotides long. RefSeq lists it as uncharacterized. The record is from RefSeq and is a predicted model, not a curated record. Lineage: Eukaryota; Metazoa; Chordata; Actinopteri; Cypriniformes; Cyprinidae.
AAACUAUAUUAUAUUAUAUUAUUUAAUCGGGACAGUGCAUAUUAAUAAACAUUACUGUAAAUGCACCACAGUUAGCCAAAUGCCAUAUUCAUCUGUAGUCCAUGGACAUGUUACACCCUUAAACAUAAUUCAAAAUAUAAAAUAAUAAAAAAUAAAUAACAUUUUUAUAAACAUGGAAAAAAUGGCAUUGUUCUUGUUCAUUAAAUAUAAAAAACGAAAAAAUAAUAAAAAUAAUUAACUGCUAUAUCAUAUCAACAUUUGCCACACACAUGUUUAAAAAUAUGAAUAUUUCUUUUUAGCAUGAGAAUGUUUAUUGUGCAUGUCUGUUUGCUUGUGUGCCAUAUGUUUGUUGCACUCGCACCACUAGAGGGCGCUCUCACACUAGUUAAAUGCCAGGUGUGGUUAAUCAGACAUUAGUUACAGGCGCAAUCAGUGAAAGCUGGCCAGGAGAAAAGGUCUUUAGGAAUCGGAUGCGGUGAGGAAGAGGAGGAUGAAGAGGAUCGCAGAACGAUCAUCUGGUUCUUUGGACACAUUGGUUGAAUGGCAUCUGAUUACAUCUCAUCCACUCCUCUCUCUGAUGGCGAGCCGUAAUCACACUCCUCCAAAUGGGCGCCAUAGUUAUGUUGCCAUGCUGUUCUGAAGUGGACACACCACAGACACAGAGCCUGUCACUGGAAAAACACUCCCCAUUCUCCACUAACCUCACCGCCAACAAACUCCGGAGCCUCUGCCCAUAAUGCCAGAUGGUUGCCUGGUAUAUGUGCUGAUGUAGGAGCCAGUGAUAUCACUGAUCAUGAGGGGUUUUCAUCAGGUGUGGACUCAUGGGAUUGACAGGCCUGCGGGAACAAAUUGGAUUUUUAACCCCAAUUGUCCUCUAGUCUGUAGCUGAUGAGGCAUGUUGCAGGUGUGGAUGUGCGAAUGUGUGUUUGGAUGAGGCAUAAUUACCUGCAUGAUGGACGUUUGCCCCAUUAACUGACUUUUAAGUGUUUUGGACCAGCUAUCCCAUGGUGCAAAAUGUGUCCCAAAAAUCGGAGCUUGCGGACACACUUAUGUAAAUUAGGGCUGUCAAAUUUAAUGCCUGCAAUUAAUUGUCACAGUAUUCGCUUAGAUAUUAUAAUGGUUUUAUUCUGCUAUCUUCAACCAAAUGUGCAAAAUGAUGGAUGGCAAGAGCAUUUCAUUUAUAAAUUUUUUUUUUUGGCUGUUUACAGAGUUUUGGACCAUUCCAGAGACAGGCCUGAGUUCCUAUGACACAUAUUUCAGUGAUAUCUGUCAGGUAUUAGGGGUGUUUUAUGUGGGCAUUCCAAAAUUUAAAAAAAAAUAUUUAUUGCUUCCAGCAACUUUAACUAUCAUCUAGCUCAACUAGUUCGAAAUAUUACCCAUGAGCGAAAGUCAUAAAAAAUUGAAUAAAAACGAGAAGAAAAAUGGAAGAUGAGGAUAUCUUUUUAAUAAAUUUGUUU